GGGUCUGUAGUUUAGUGGCAAAACAAGGGUGUCCGAAGCCAAAGAUGGGGGUUCGAUUCCCUCCAGACCUGCCA
Molecule: transfer RNA, 74 nt
Filed under: Anaerococcus tetradius
Lineage: Bacteria; Bacillati; Bacillota; Tissierellia; Tissierellales; Peptoniphilaceae
Also listed under: 2 other names
Description: tRNA-Arg
Rfam family: tRNA
About the family: Transfer RNA (tRNA) molecules are approximately 80 nucleotides in length. Their secondary structure includes four short double-helical elements and three loops (D, anti-codon, and T loops).
Source: RNAcentral